This is an RNA transcript of Vespa crabro (European hornet), 2264 nucleotides long. NCBI's taxonomy places the organism in Eukaryota, Metazoa, Arthropoda, Insecta, Hymenoptera, Vespidae. The record is from RefSeq and is a predicted model, not a curated record.
GAUAUAGUCUUCUUCUUUGUUUUUUUUUUUUAGAAAUGUGCGAUUAAUAAUGAAAUAUGUUGUCUUGUAAUGAAAAUAUUGUGUAUUCAUAGUGUACACUUUACUGAAUUAAUUACUUGCCUCGCGUUUAGAAUAUAAUAACACGUACUAUUGUAAAUUGCAAAUUCAUACAAUGGCAUUGCGAAAGUUAAUGCAUCCAAGAAAUAAAUAUAAAAAAAGUCCUAAUUUUAAACAACUUGCUCUUUUGUAUCCAGAAUUUCGCAAAGUUGCAGUUACGGAUCUCACAGGAAAAGUCCAUAUUGACUUUAAAAAUGAAGAAACUUUGCGUAUUCUUACCAAAGUAUUAUUAAAACAUGACUUUGAUCUCACAAUAAAGAUACCACAAAAUAAAUUAGUACCAACUUUACCUUUACGUUUGAAUUAUAUUUUGUGGAUUGAAGAUUUGAUGACACAUGCCUCUUUUACUAAAAUGGAAAAUGUUAAAGGCAUUGAUAUUGGAACAGGAGCAGUUUGUAUAUAUCCUUUAUUGCUGGCAAAAAUAUAUGGAUGUUAUAUGUUUGGAACAGAAGUUGACGACACAAGUAUUGAAUCAGCAAUAGAAAAUGUUAAGAAUAAUAAUCUAGAAAAUUUAAUUCAAGUGAUCAAAGUGGAUAAAAAUAAAAUUCUGAAAGAAACGAUAGAAGAAAAUGAAACUUUUCAUUUUAUAAUGUGUAAUCCUCCAUUUUUUGAAACUGAAGAUACCUCAGAUAAAGUAAUAAAACAACAACCACCGAGAAAUGCUCCUACUGGCAGUAAUAAGGAACUAAGCAUUGAAGGAGGUGAAAAAUUAUUUGUAACAAAAAUGAUUGAAGAGAGUAUACAGAUUGGUGAAAAGAUCAAAAUAUAUACUUCUAUGCUUGGAAAAAAAAAUAGUUUAUUCUACUUUGUCAAAUUAUUAAAGGAACAUAAUAUAAACAAUUUCACAUGGACAGAAUUUUGUCAAGGCCACACAAAACGAUGGGGUUUAGCAUGGUCUUUCUUGUCAAUAGAUGUAUGUGAUUUGACAAAAGCACCUGUUAUAAGAGAAAGCAAUAUCAUGGAUAAGUUUUCAAAAGAUCAUCCCCCUUUGGAAAUAAUAUUUCCCAUGCAAGAUAAAUAUCUACUAAUUGACGAUGUUAUUAUAGAAUUAAAGAAGAUAAUUAACAAUUUACAGAUAAAUAUAAAAGAGUUAGAGUUACAAAAAAAUACGUUGAGUGAUUGGGGAUGUCAACUCACAGCACAAAAUGAUACAUGGUCGCAUGCGCGUAGAAAACGUCGUUUAGCCGAAAGACAAAGUAAAGAUUGUAAAAAAGUAAAUAUAGAAAGUACUCUAGUUACAGAGCAAAUUAAUGUAGAAUCUGAAAUCAGAAAAACACAACAUAUGGAUGUAAAAAAUGAAGAUAUACAGUUUGUUUCUACAAAAGACACAGAAACAUCUGAUCAUAAAGGUCCUUUGUUAAUUUUCAAUUUAUUUCUUAACAUAUUAGAGGAUGAACAAGAUCCUGAAAAAAAAAAUGUAAAGAUUAGUUUAUUUUUCGAAAGUGGAAGUGGUGGGAGAAAUACACUGGAAACAUUGAGACAAUAUUUGAUAAACAAAUUAAAUGUCCGAAUAUAUUUUCAACAAUUCUGUUCUAAAACAAAUAAAAAGAGAAGAAAAAAAUUCAAGAAAGCAAAGAAAGAUCCUUCCUCUAAAUUAAAUAAACUAGGAAAAGAAAAGAAAUUAAAUAUUUCGUCAGCUGAGGACAGUGCAGAUUCAUUUUAGAUUGUAUUAAUUUUGUAUAACAAUGAGAAACAACGUAUUUCACACAAUAAUUUUAUCAACAUAUACAAAAGGCUGCACGGAAAUCACCCAUACAUGAUUGGGUCCUUGCAACAAGAUGAUAGGAUACUGCUACUUUCAAAGAACGCGGACCAUGAUAACGAAGAUUUAAAUCCAGAGCAUGUUCCAAAAAUCUAAGUGAUAAUUCAUACUCUCCAACGGCAUGUAAUAUUAAAGAAAUAUUACUCUAAGAGCUACUUCCGGAUGAUCUUCACCACAAACUAACAAUGCGAGAUAACGUGCUCUGUAUAAUAAUCGUAACGAUACGGAAACUUGACCAUUUGCAAAAGAAUACAAUGCGAGAUGAAUCUAGUAAUGAGAGAGAGAGAGAGAAAGAGAAAAAAAAAGAUAAAUUUCCAACAAUGUUAUGAAUCUAGUAAUGAAGGGGGUGGGGGAAUAAAUAAAUUUCCAACGAUAUUUAAAUAAA